Molecule: long non-coding RNA, 5843 nt
Organism: Aedes albopictus (Asian tiger mosquito)
Lineage: Eukaryota; Metazoa; Arthropoda; Insecta; Diptera; Culicidae
Exons: 2
Source: RefSeq, a predicted model, not a curated record
CAGAAAAUGUUCACAUGGCGUCAGAUAUAAAGAAAUGCAUAGGGUCACCAAUAUAAUUUAGACCCCCAUAAACAGGGGGUGGCCAAAAUGAUUGGGAUAGGCAACUUUUUUUUUCUCUCACUAAGGGGGCAUCCAUAAAGUACGUCACGCUGGAAAGUGUGACAAGCAGUGUAUUAAAUAUAGGAAAACCCCGUACGAAGGGGAGAGGGGGGGGGGGGGGUGAUUUGAAAAUUCCCAUUUUUAGCGUGACGUACUAAAUGGAUGCCCAUAAAAAUGUUCAACAUGCUGUAACUUUUCAUAGCAUCGAAAAUUCUCAAAUUUUGACUGUUUGUCCACCUAUUAUAUAUGCAUUAGUAUGGGACAAAUAUCAAAUCUUCGCUCCAGUCGACUUUUUAGAUCCCAUUUAGCAGCAGCCAAGGCAGCAGCUACAGUGCUGCUAAUAAAGCAAAACAAAAAGCCGUUCGUUGGAUCACUAAUCGGUAAUAAAUCAAUAACUUUUUCCACAAGCAUCCAAUCGUUUUGCGGUCUUCGAAGGAAAGUUUCACAAAUGAUUUUUCUACAAGAAACGUUGAUCGAUUUGGAUUAAGGAGACAAAGGGCGACCUCUGGGAUUUUUUGAUUGAACGUGUCACUUUUCCCAUAGUAAAUCAUAUGAAAACUUUGAGCCGCUUGCGCUAAAUUAUAGUUUCACCGAUUGCGCUGAAAUUUUGCACAGAUCAUAUGGGACCUAAAUGGAAUCAAAAAAGUCGACUGGAGCGAGAAUUUGAUGUUUGUCCCAUACUAGUGGUGAUGCCUCCCGCCACCCCAUGCAACAACGGCAGCAGCAGUGCUGCUGAUAAAACAAAAUAAAAAGCCGUUCGUUGGAUCACUAAUCGGUAAUAAAUCAAUAACUUUUUCCACAAGCAUCCAAUCGUUUUGCGGUCUUCGAAGGAAAGUUUCACAAAUGAUUUUUCUACAAGAAACGUUGAUCGAUUUGGAUUAAGGAGACAAAGGGCGACCUCUGGGAUUUUUUGAUUGAACGUGUCACUUUUCCCAUAGUAAAUCAUAUGAAAACUUUGAGCCGCUUGCGCUAAAUUAUAGUUUCACCGAUUGCGCUGAAAUUUUGCACAGAUCAUAUGGGACCUAAAUGGAAUCAAAAAAGUCGACUGGAGCGAGAAUUUGAUGUUUGUCCCAUACUAGUGGUGAUGCCUCCCGCCACCCCAUGCAACAACGGCAGCAGCAGUGCUGCUGAUAAAACAAAAUAAAAAGCCGUUCGUUGGAUCACUAAUCGGUAAUAAAUCAAUAACUUUUUUCACAAGCAUCCAAUUGUUUUGCUGUCUUCGAAGGAAAGUUUCAUAAUUGAUUUUUCUACAAGAAACAUUGAUCGAUUUGAAUUAAGGAGACAAGGGACGACCUCUGGGAUUUUUUAUCUGAAAGUGUAACUUUUCCCAUAGUAAAUCCUAUAAAAACUUUGAACCGCUUGCGCUAAAUUAUAGUUUCACCGAUUGCGCUGAAAUUUUGUACAGUUCAUAUGGGACCUAAAUGGAAUCUAAAAAGUCGACUGGAGCGAGGAUUUAUUUUUUCCAUACAAGCGUGUACCAUACUAAUAUGCAUUCUUGGUACAAAUUUGAGCACGAUUGGUAAAUCUUCCGCGAAGCUAGAAUCGUUCUAGUAAAACACUAUUUUUAGACAACUUAUUUUUGAACUGUCAUAUCUCGGAAAUCAGUUUAUCAACAAUACAUUAAUGCUUCACAAGUUAUUAAAACAUAGGUACUUUUUGAAUGUUGAAAAAAAGUUAUCAUGGCUUGAUAAAUGUAUUUUUUUUACAUCAAUGGCAUUAAAUUUUAGUUUUGAUAUCCAAAGAUUUUCUACUUAUGUUCUCAAGAUAUCACUAAUCAGAUAUAUUAGAGCCAAUUUGGAUUAUAAGGAAAAAAACAUUUAGUUAUUUUUGUUUGAUAUUGUGAAUUUCACUUAUUUUUCUCUAUAUGGGUGAAACUAUGAAACCGGUAUAACUUUAUUUGUCGUGCGGAAAUAUUACAUUUUAUAACGUCGUAAUAUAGUUUAUUGCAUUGCUAACUGGACUGCGACAAAGUGCGGAAUCUCAAAUAAAAGUGCGAUAUUGCAUCAAAUCGUUCCGGUGUCUUCACCGCACUUAUUCAUCACGAGCUAAUGAAUAAGUGCGGUGAAGAGACCGAAACGAUCUGACGCAAAAUCGCACUUUUAUUUGAGAUUCCGCACUUCAUCGUCGCACUUAUAACCGCGCAAUGCGCAAUAAUUAUCAAUAUACUGUUGUGGAGCGGACCUGGUGUGAUGGUCACUUGACUAUCACGCCGAGGACCUGGGAUCGAAUCCCACUCCCAACAAACUCGCAAAAUGUGAGUUCUUCCUUCGGAAGUAAAGUAAAGCGUGGGUCCCGAAAUGAACUAGCCUAGGGCUAAAAAUCUCGUUAAUACAGAUAAAAAAAUAUACUGUUGAUAAACGUUCAAAAUUUCAUUCAAUUCGGUUCGGUUGGUUUCCAAGAUAUGAUACUUCACGCAGAAAAAUAAAUUGUAAACACAAUUAAAUUCUAGUUCAAAUCACCCGAUUUUUCAGUUUACUAUAGCGACAAACUGAUUUUUUUUUUGCUAGGUUUCUAGCUGCACUCUGAAUAGAGUUGAAACCUCUACACUAGACCCGAAGAUAGAAAAGAGUACGUAAUCUUUCAGAAGCAGUUUGCCAGCCGUACGCGGAAAAUGAUAUCCAUUAAGACACUGUUGCAACUGACUCAGAAAGAUACGGUAGAAGAUUGGAAAGUUUUCAAUUGGUCAGUCAGUCAGGAUUUGCCUAUGUAGUGUUAUGGUCACACGGUUUGUGUUUGCCUCCUUGUUUUGAAUUUGUGGCAUGGUUAAAUAUGUUUUUCUCCUCGUUAAGUCAGUUGUCGUAUGUUGUUUUUUUUCAUCGAAUCAAUCGAACCUUGUAUGUUAAAAUAUAGUCGAUCCUGUGUCAAAUUGUUUUCUUGAUUUCGCUAAUCGUUUUCUACUUGUGUUCAUCUCUUGUGUCCUUAAAUUGUCAUCGGUCCAAAAUCCAUAGAAACAUGUAACUGAACUUCUGAAUAUCUAAGAGAUAAUCAAAAAUACGCCAAGUUGGUCAGUUGAUUGCAAUAAAAUUUUAAAAUAAUAAAGAUUUCAUGUCAACUUUCAUCCCGCUACAAAUACUAUUAAAAAUAUUCAAAUUCGUUUAAUUGUCCUAUCGGUCCUACCUAGAUGAUCCAUGUCAUUUUCUCAAGCGUAGCCUAGAAAUGUCAACCUAGUCAUACACAAAUAACGUUGUUCAGUUAAUAUAAAGCAGUCAGUUUUUGCCCAAAAUGUCACGUCGAACGCAUUGACGUCAACAAUGCGUUUAAGUGUUCGCACGUUAGCUUUGAAUCUAUCAGCACAAUUAAGCCGGAACAAAUCUCAUUUUCUUCUUUUGUCACAAUACUCGUUGGCUCGCUAAGGGGGAGGACAAUAAAUAAUAAAUGUAUUUGACGAAGUAAUACCCAAGCAGUUUGGCAAAAUCUAUAAACUCAUCGGAUUUGUUAAGAAAUUUUCUGUGCAACUCUAAUUUCACCUUGAAAUUUUAAAAUUUCUUGAAUAAUUUAUUGUUGUCCCCCCUCAAAAUGUAGAAUUUUGACCAAAAUUUUCCGAGGGGGCGGGGACAUAAGAGAAAAUCGAAAUUUGUGUCAGCCUAAUACCCACGCUUUUUGCACCAUUUAAUUGCAAAAACGGAGAAUGGACCUUCUCACCAUACUAAAAUUCAGCUCAUUACUACAAAUCUAGUACUACACCGAACGUGCCCCAUUUAAUGCUGUUUGAGCAAAAGUUUUAAUAACUGUGUUGUUGAAGUUGCAAGAAAUAAAUAAUACAACAACACAGUUACCAAACUUUUGCUCAAAUAGCAUCAAAUUAGUCAAGAAAUCAUAUAACCCACGCUGUUUGUACCAUUUCAUUACAGAAAUGGAGAACUGAUCAUCUCACCAUACAAAAAUCCAGCUCACUACUUUCAAUCUAGUACUUCACUGAUUGCUUCCUAUUACGGCACCGAUUGACUCCGUUCUUUUUGUUUUCAUGGGUGCUCACUUCUAACAAAAAAUACAAAAAUAAGAAACAACACAAACAGCGCUUCAAUCCUUUGUUUUUCGUGAGAUGAAAAUGGGAGCCACAUGCUUAAUAAGGGAACCAAUACCCUAGGCAAGGAAUCAUAAUAGGGGUAGGCGGGGCAAUAUGGACACCCUAAGGUUUUUGCCAAUUUUACCUAGCAAGAUGUCAAAAAAGUUUAGUUUUUUGAUACAUGUAUCCUUUUAAAGACUAUUUAGCAUCUAUUGCAUAAGAAUGCUCACGAAGAAAAAUGAUUUAUCCACUUCAAAAAAUGUUAUGAAAAAUGUUAGUUUUUCAUGACCGUCUUCAAGCAUACGGGGCAGAAUGGACACCCCCAUGGGGCAUUAUGGACACCAUGAGACUUUUACAAAUUUCGUACAUUAUUUACACCUAUAAAGUAAUUUCAUUGCAAAACAACUAUUAUGAAUGAAUAAUACGCCGAAGUAGUUCAUUUUUGUUAAGUUAAUUUAAAUUCAGGCUGUUUUGGAUAAAGCUUCGUUUUUGUCGGCAGGUACAGCUGUGCCUAGAACAACUAUUUUCCGCUGCUGUCGUUUUUUGACCAAUUUGUUUCACCCUAUGUCUACUAUAGUGAACUUUUAACCGAAAAUAUACUGAAAUCGAAGAAUUUGAUUGGUUUGUGAUUUAGGUUAUAUUUUUCCCUUGCCGCUUCUUUCAAAAAGGUGAGUGUCCAUUUUGCCCCGGCAGCAGAAGAUAUUUCCAAACUUGAUUUUUGAUAUAAUAAAGAAGAAAAUAUAAACAUGUUAAGCAUGUACAUACAGCAAAACUACUUGCAUGUGUUUUAGAAAUAUCAGGUUUUAAUCGGCCUGCAAUAAAUUAAUCACUAAACCUUAUUUUAGAUGGUGUGAAAAUUAUAAUUUCCAUGCACAAAAAACGGAGGACGCAACUUUUUCGUGUAAAAUCAAGUAUAAUUUUAAUUUCGAAUGUUUCUUUCCUGAAACUACGUUCUAGACAAAUGGACUAUAUUCUCCAUUCAUUAAAAGUUCAAAAAAGUUCGCAUAUUUCAAAAUAUUGAGGGUGUCCAUUCUGCCCCGGGUGUCCAUAAUGCCCCGCCUACCCCUACCCACGCUUUUUGCACCAUUUCAUUGCAGAAACGGAGAACUGACCUUCUCACCAUACUAAAAUUCAGCUCAUUACUACAAAUCUAGUACUUCGCCGAUCUGUCCUAUUAAAUAUUAUCUUCUUACUAAAUUUACAUAUGCCAUCAAAUUCUCGAUAAUAAAAAUAAAUAUUUCUAGAUUGAGUUUAAAUAAGGGCGAACGUAACAUGAGAGAGUUCUCUUCAUAGACUCUCUCAUCUGAAAAUUAAAGUGACAAGAUGCAAAUUCAAUCGAACUUUUUUACACUUAGACGCUAGAUUGCAUCGCAACCUAGCGAUUUAUGACUAAAAAGCGCAGCCAUACUUGCAUCUUGUCACUUUAAUUUGAAGAAGAGAGAGUCGAUGAAGAGAACUCUCUCAUGUUACUUUCGCCCUUAUUUAAACUCAAUCUAGAUUUGUAAUACGUUUAUUGUCGAUUGCAAUACCGUUCAAUCAACGCCUUCCUACAAACGAUAAACAUGUUCAUUUGGCUCACACUUUGACAGUUCUCUCUGCUCGAUUGGCUCACAAUUGCCUUCUCUAUAAAGUAGGAUUACUAGUCUAAGUAUGCUGGACGGUGUUUCUAUUCGCCCCGUUUUACGGUAACAAAAAAAAAAUGUUUGGAUUUUUUUUUUGCACGGCCGUGCAAAAUAAA